Molecule: ribosomal RNA, 461 nt
Filed under: uncultured bacterium
Lineage: Bacteria
Description: partial 16S ribosomal RNA
Rfam family: Bacterial small subunit ribosomal RNA
Source: RNAcentral
CCUACGGGAGGCAGCAGUGAGGAAUAUUGGUCAAUGGACGCAAGUCUGAACCAGCCAAGUAGCGUGCAGGAUGACGGCCCUCCGGGUUGUACACUGCUUUUAGUUGGGAAUAAAAGGGGGUCCGUGACCCCGGAAUUUUUUGUACCUCCGGAAAAAGAACCGGCUAAUUCCGUGCCAGCAGCCGCGUAAAUACGGAGUAUGCGCGCGUUAUCCGAAUUGAUUGGUUUUAAAGGUUGCGCAGCCGGAAGAUCAAGUCAGCGGUAAAAUUGAGGGGCUCAACCGCGUCGAGCCGUUGAAACUGGUUUUCUUGAGUGAGCGAGAAGUAUGCGGAAUGCGUGGUGUAGCGGUGAAAUGCAUAGAUAUCACGCAGAACUCCGAUGGCGAAGGCAGCAUACCGGCGCUUAACUGACGCUCAUGCACGAAAGUGUGGGUAUCGAACAGGAUUAGAUACCCCAGUAGUC